CCUACGGGGGGCUGCAGUGGGGAAUAUUGCACAAUGGGCGCAAGCCUGAUGCAGCCAUGCCGCGUGUGUGAAGAAGGCCUUCGGGUUGUAAAGCACUUUCAGCGGGGAGGAAGGCGGUGAGGUUAAUAACCUCAUCGAUUGACGUUACCCGCAGAAGAAGCACCGGCUAACUCCGUGCCAAGCAGCCGCGGUAAUACGGAGGGUGCAAGCGUUAAUCGGAAUUACUGGGCGUAAAGCGCACGCAGGCGGUCUGUCAAGUCGGAUGUGAAAUCCCCGGGCUCAACCUGGGAACUGCAUUCGAAACUGGCAGGCUAGAGUCUUGUAGAGGGGGGUAGAAUUCCAGGUGUAGCGGUGAAAUGCGUAGAGAUCUGGAGGAAUACCGGUGGCGAAGGCGGCCCCCUGGACAAAGACUGACGCUCAGGUGCGAAAGCGUGGGGAGCAAACAGGAUUAGAUACCCGAGUAGUC
RNAcentral lists this ribosomal RNA (466 nucleotides) under uncultured Klebsiella sp. Its description in RNAcentral is "bacterial SSU rRNA". It matches the Rfam family "Bacterial small subunit ribosomal RNA", at positions 338 to 795 of the family's 1533-position model. Lineage: Bacteria; Pseudomonadati; Pseudomonadota; Gammaproteobacteria; Enterobacterales; Enterobacteriaceae. The record is from RNAcentral.